This 1602-nucleotide long non-coding RNA is filed under the name Marmota monax (woodchuck). Lineage: Eukaryota; Metazoa; Chordata; Mammalia; Rodentia; Sciuridae. The record is from RNAcentral.
CUGCUCUCCUAUUUGCCAAAACAGGUUCCAAGCCUGGAAGAGGCAGAUAGGUUUACCCUGUUAAAAAGAAUUUACUACAUGAACAGACUGCAUUUUCCUGACCAAGGUGGACGCCCCUGAUUGAAGGAGGCAACUAGAGAUAAGGAUGGCAGCUCCGCAGUGAGAAGGCAGACUAGGAGUGCUGGUCCAGUGCUUCCACCGCCAACAAAUACAGGGGUGAGAGGUCUCAGGUCAUAAAUUAUUUAACGUGCAAACUAGAAAAAGCAGCGCAGAAACGUGAAACGCUAGCUGUAACGAUAUUCUGCGCAACCUGGCUGAUAAUACCAACUACAACACCAACGCCACCAGCUGGUGAACACCCGUAGUAAGGAGGAUACAUGAGCUGUGAAUGGCUUCGCCUCCUUGGGGAGCUCUUGAGAGUGACUGAGGCUGCUCCCUGUGCUCCUCCCUAGACUUACAUUUCAGCUCUCAGACGGUAGGUGUGUGCUCAUUGCGAGUUAACUGCGUAGUGUACAGAUGCAGUUUUGCACAGUCAUCUCUUUCUGGUGCUUGGCACCUUUGUCAAAAGCCACUGGAGCCCACGUAUGCAGCAUCUAAACGUUUUGUAUUUUCUUUUUAUUUCUCUGUAGAGCCAAACAAAUGAAAAAUAAAUCUAUUCAAAGAUGCAGGGGAAAAAAACACUGGAGCAUGUAUGAUGGAUUACUUCAUUAAUAAUAAAUGUUGAGUACUUUGUGGUUCCAUUUUCCAGGCAGAACAUCUACUUCAGGAACUUCAAGAACAUUUUCAAGCUCUCACUGCAGCCUUAAACCUGAGAAAUAUCCUCUUCUGUCUUUGGUAAACACUAAUGCUUUUGGACAGGCACAUCUCCAUUGUCUUCUGCUGUGGACAAAUAGUUGUUUAUUUGGAUUCUCCAGUAUUUACACUUGCCCUUCUAAGGGGCUUUUCCUGUGCUGUCAAUGCCAGAGGUCUGUGGCAAGUGUGAAGUUCAAGGGCACCACUCUGCUCCUGACCACCUGGACAACCUGGUCUGCAACAGUUAGAGGACGGUGCUCAAGUCCAAUAGGAGGCUAGACACUGCUGUGCCUUUGCUUUGUUUUGACUUCCCCGGCUCACUCUUUUAUUUCAGAAACACAAAUGUUACAAAAUUAACACAGAAUGUUUCCAAUGAGUAAGUUCAGGUAAGGGCAAAAAGUGCAUUAAAACUUGCCCAAUUUGAGCUCACUUUAUUCAACUAAGUGCAUUCCUUAAACAUUGUGCAAAGUAUUUACAUUUGGAAGUGCUUACCUGCAGCUUUUGAUUUUACCAACAAGGUAAAACAUGAUAACACGAUAAAUUAAACCAUAGAGUUGUUUUAAAAGUUAAAUUUCCAUUAUAUUAUGCUCAGAGUUUGGCAGGUUUAAAAGCCAAGUUUCUCACUUCAAGGUUCAAGAUACACACUAAAAGGGACUCAGGAGGCAGCAAAUUUGCAUUGACCCUUCAUUUUACAAGUUCCUCUCUGUGGAGAAGGUAUGGCCUUGAGGGCGUGUCUGUGGUCACUCUGCACCCCAGACCUACAUGUGCAGUUUUCCUUGACGUGGCACUGGAAGACAUGGGGAAUCGCAU